Molecule: transfer RNA, 75 nt
Organism: Serendipita vermifera MAFF 305830
Lineage: Eukaryota; Fungi; Basidiomycota; Agaricomycetes; Sebacinales; Serendipitaceae
Rfam family: tRNA
About the family: Transfer RNA (tRNA) molecules are approximately 80 nucleotides in length. Their secondary structure includes four short double-helical elements and three loops (D, anti-codon, and T loops).
Source: Rfam
GGCCUCUUGGUUUAGUGGAGAGAACGCCUUCAUAUCUUGGGGAGGAGGUCCGAGGUUCGAUUCCUCGAGAGGCUA